Molecule: transfer RNA, 71 nt
Organism: Pisolithus microcarpus 441
Lineage: Eukaryota; Fungi; Basidiomycota; Agaricomycetes; Boletales; Pisolithaceae
Rfam family: tRNA
About the family: Transfer RNA (tRNA) molecules are approximately 80 nucleotides in length. Their secondary structure includes four short double-helical elements and three loops (D, anti-codon, and T loops).
Source: Rfam
GGUCAGGUGGCCUAGUGGUAAGGCACCCCAGAGCUAGUGGGGGGACCCAGGUUCAAUCCCUGGUCUGGCCA